UGGGGAAUAUUGGACAAUGGGGGCAACCCUGAUCCAGCAAUGCCGCGUGGGUGAUGAAGGCCUUCGGGUUGUAAAGCCCUUUUGGCGGGGACGAUGAUGACGGUACCCGCAGAAGAAGCCCCGGCUAACUUCGUGCCAGCAGCCGCGGUAAUACGAAGGGGGCUAGCGUUGUUCGGAAUUACUGGGCGUAAAGGGCGCGCAGGCGGCUUGGCGUGUCGGGCGUGAAAGGCCUGGGCUCAACCCGGGAAAUGCGCCCGCGACUGCUGGGCUAGAGUGUGGGAGAGGAUGGUGGAAUUCCCAGUGUAGAGGUGAAAUUCGUAGAUAUUGGGAAGAACACCGGUGGCGAAGGCGGCCAUCUGGACCACAACUGACGCUGAGGCGCGAAAGCGUGGGGAGCAAACAGGAUUAGAUACCCCGGUAGUCC
This 424-nucleotide ribosomal RNA is filed under the name uncultured bacterium. RNAcentral describes it as "bacterial SSU rRNA". It matches the Rfam family "Bacterial small subunit ribosomal RNA", at positions 355 to 796 of the family's 1533-position model. The record is from RNAcentral.